Molecule: ribosomal RNA, 252 nt
Filed under: uncultured bacterium
Lineage: Bacteria
Description: partial 16S ribosomal RNA
Rfam family: Bacterial small subunit ribosomal RNA
Source: RNAcentral
UACGUAGGGCGCGAGCGUUGUCCGGAAUUAUUGGGCGUAAAGAGCUCGUAGGCGGCUGGUUGCGUCUGCUGUGAAAUCCCGGGGCUUAACCCCGGGCGUGCAGUGGAUACGGGCCGGCUGGAGGCAGGCAGGGGAGAAUGGAAUUCCUGGUGUAGCGGUGAAAUGCGCAGAUAUCAGGAGGAACACCAAUGGCGAAGGCAGCUCGCUGGGACGGUACUGACGCUGAGACGCGAAAGCGUGGGGAGCAAACAG